This 593-nucleotide long non-coding RNA is filed under the name Homo sapiens (human). The record is from RNAcentral. Lineage: Eukaryota; Metazoa; Chordata; Mammalia; Primates; Hominidae.
ACGCGCCCGAUCUCGUCUGAUCUCGGAAGCUAAGCAGGGUCGGGCCUGGUUAGUACUUGGAUGGGAGAAGUUACAGCUUCAGGCCGGGCACAGUGGCUCGUGCCUGUAAUCCCAGCUACCAGGGGAGGCUGAGGCAGGAGAAUCGCUUGAACCUGGGAGGUGGAGGUUGCAAUGAGCCGAGAUCACGCCACUGCACUCCAGCCUGGGCAACAAGAGCGAAACUCCGUCUCAAAAAAAAAAAAAAAAGUUACAGCUUCAUACACCCAAACCUGAUAGUUCUGACAACGUACCUAUUUUUUAAAACAGUCGGGCCAGGCACAGUGGCUCAUGUCUAUAAUCCCAGCACUUUGGUAGGCCAAGGCGGAUGGAUCACCUGAGGUCGAGAGUUCAAGACCAGCCUGACCAACAUGGAGAAACCCCAUUUCUACCAAAAAUACAAAAUUAGCUGGGCAUGGUGGUGCACGCCUGUAAUCCCAGCUACUCGGGAGGCUGAGGCAGGAGAAUUGCUUGAACCUGGGAGGCGGAGGUUGCAGUGAGCGGAGAUUGUACCAUUGCACUCCAGCCUGGCCAAUAAGAGUGAAACUCUGUCCCCA